Molecule: ribosomal RNA, 201 nt
Filed under: Triticum aestivum (bread wheat)
Lineage: Eukaryota; Viridiplantae; Streptophyta; Magnoliopsida; Poales; Poaceae
Description: partial small subunit ribosomal RNA
Source: RNAcentral
AUGGAGGACGACCGUCUCCACGGUGAGGCCGGGGCCGAAGCCGAAGAGAACGCCCCAGUCCAUUCCCUCGCCGGUUGUGGUGUGGCCAUCCUCGGCGGAGCGUUUGCGCAUUUCGUCCAUGAUGAAGAGCACGCAUGCGCUCGACAUGUUGCCAUAUUCGGAGAGGACAUGCCUGGUGGCGCGCAUCCGUUCCUUGUUUAG